This 297-nucleotide long non-coding RNA is filed under the name Sorghum bicolor (sorghum). RNAcentral describes it as "long non-coding RNA (SBIC_LNC013738)". The record is from RNAcentral. Lineage: Eukaryota; Viridiplantae; Streptophyta; Magnoliopsida; Poales; Poaceae.
GGAGUAUUCCAGAGUAUCGAUUUUCCACAGAGAACGUGAGUGUACUAAUUAAGAUCCAAGAUCGCCCAAGAAUAACUAUAUAAUUAUUUUUGGUGGGAAGAGAGGAAGUUUCCUGAGAGUUCUCUAAUUGAUCUAAGAAUCAAGAAUUACUUCAAGAUUAUCUAUUUCGGGACAUCAGAACACUAACCAUAGAAAGAGAUGAGAAGGGGGCUAGGAAGCUCCGACUACGGUCCUACAAACACCGAUCCGAACGAGGUGGAAUACGUCGACCGUUAGGGCUGUCACUACCCUAGGGCU